UCCCUGGUGGCUCAGAUGGUUAAGCAUCUGCCUGCAAUGCAGGAGACCCGGGUUCGAUCCCUGGGUCGGGAA
This 72-nucleotide transfer RNA is filed under the name Bos taurus (domestic cattle). It matches the Rfam family "tRNA". From Rfam's summary of the family: Transfer RNA (tRNA) molecules are approximately 80 nucleotides in length. Lineage: Eukaryota; Metazoa; Chordata; Mammalia; Artiodactyla; Bovidae. The record is from Rfam by way of RNAcentral. RNAcentral also lists the same sequence under 4 other names.